AGAGAGAGACAUGCGCGCAUAUCAAUAAGCGGAGGAAAAGAAACUAACUAGGAUUCCCUCAGUAACGGCGAGUGAAGCGGGAAGAGCUCAUAUUUGAAAUCUUCAAGGUUCUACCUUGACGAAUUGUAGUUUAAAGAAGUGUUUUCUGUUGAAGUUUUGGUAAAAGUUCUUUGGAAUAGGACAUCAUAGAGGGUGAGAAUCCCGUAUUUGACCAUUAUUUUCCAGCUUUGUGAUACACUUUCAAAGAGUCGGAUUGUUUGGGAAUGCAGUCCAAAAUGGGUGGUAAAUUUCAUCUAAAGCUAAAUAUUGGCGAGAGACCGAUAGCGAACAAGUACCGUGAGGAAAAGAUGAAAAGAACUUUGAAAAGAGAGUUAAACAGUACGUGAAAUUGUCAAAGGGAAGCGUUUGACACCAGUGUUGUUUUCUCGAAAAUCAAUUAAAAAAGGCAGGAUUUUGUGUCGUAUUGACUUUAUCAGCUUUCUGCACUCUUUUCUUGUCUUUUUUAAUGCACUUUUCGUUUAACAAGUCAACAUCAAUUUCUUUUGUUGUAAAAGGGUCAUUGGAAGGUGGCUUUCUUUUCGGAGAAAGUGUUUAUAGCCUUUGGCCUCUGCAAUCGGAGAGAUUGAGGUCUGCAGCGUAGAAUCCUUCGGGGUUAGAUACAUUUGUGCUAAGUUAUAGCCUUUUCAUAGACAACUUGUUGACUAUAAUCAGUCAUGUAGCUUACUCGCUUAUGCUAUUUUACCUACGCUUAGGAUGUUGAAGAUGUAGCACAUCAU
This 776-nucleotide ribosomal RNA is filed under the name uncultured Neocallimastigales. RNAcentral's name for it is "partial large subunit ribosomal RNA". It matches the Rfam family "Eukaryotic large subunit ribosomal RNA", at positions 23 to 635 of the family's 3401-position model. The record is from RNAcentral. Lineage: Eukaryota; Fungi; Neocallimastigomycota; Neocallimastigomycetes; Neocallimastigales.